Molecule: ribosomal RNA, 119 nt
Filed under: Triticum aestivum (bread wheat)
Lineage: Eukaryota; Viridiplantae; Streptophyta; Magnoliopsida; Poales; Poaceae
Source: RNAcentral
GGAUGUGAUCAUACCAGCACUGAAGCACCGGAUCCCAUCAGAACUCCGAAGUUAAGCGUGCUUGGGCGAGAGUAGUACUAGGAUGGGUGACCUCCUGGGAAGUCCUUGUGUUGCAUUUC